This 462-nucleotide ribosomal RNA is filed under the name Vreelandella stevensii. Its description in RNAcentral is "partial 16S ribosomal RNA". It matches the Rfam family "Bacterial small subunit ribosomal RNA", at positions 341 to 795 of the family's 1533-position model. The record is from RNAcentral. Lineage: Bacteria; Pseudomonadati; Pseudomonadota; Gammaproteobacteria; Oceanospirillales; Halomonadaceae.
CCGGGCGGCUGCAGUGGGGAAUAUUGGACAAUGGGGGCAACCCUGAUCCAGCCAUGCCGCGUGUGUGAAGAAGGCCCUCGGGUUGUAAAGCACUUUCAGUGAGGAAGAACGCCUGGUGGUUAAUACCCAUCAGGAAAGACAUCACUCACAGAAGAAGCACCGGCUAACUCCGUGCCAGCAGCCGCGGUAAUACGGAGGGUGCGAGCGUUAAUCGGAAUUACUGGGCGUAAAGCGCGCGUAGGUGGCUUGAUAAGCCGGUUGUGAAAGCCCCGGGCUCAACCUGGGAACGGCAUCCGGAACUGUCAAGCUAGAGUGCAGGAGAGGAAGGUAGAAUUCCCGGUGUAGCGGUGAAAUGCGUAGAGAUCGGGAGGAAUACCAGUGGCGAAGGCGGCCUUCUGGACUGACACUGACACUGAGGUGCGAAAGCGUGGGUAGCAAACAGGAUUAGAUACCCGAGUAGUC